AGCGAACGCUGGCGGCAGGCCUAACACAUGCAAGUCGAACGAACCUUUCGGGGUUAGUGGCGGACGGGUGAGUAACACGUGGGAACGUGCCUUUAGGUUCGGAAUAACUCAGGGAAACUUGUGCUAAUACCGAAUGUGCCCUUCGGGGGAAAGAUUAAUCGCCUUUAGAGCGGCCCGCGUCUGAUUAGCUAGUUGGUUGAGGUAAUGGCUCACCAAGGCGACGAUCAGUAGCUGGCCUGAGAGGAUGAUCAGCCACAUUGGGACUGAGACACGGCCCAAACUCCUACGGGAGGCAGCAGUGGGGAAUCUUGCGCAAUGGGCGAAAGCCUGACGCAGCCAUGCCGCGUGAAUGAUGAAGGUCCUAGGAUUGUAAAAUUCUUUCACCGGGGACGAUAAUGACGGUACCCGGAGAAGAAGCCCCGGCUAACUUCGUG
RNAcentral lists this ribosomal RNA (434 nucleotides) under uncultured bacterium. Its description in RNAcentral is "partial 16S ribosomal RNA". It matches the Rfam family "Bacterial small subunit ribosomal RNA", at positions 29 to 507 of the family's 1533-position model. The record is from RNAcentral.